RNAcentral lists this ribosomal RNA (1320 nucleotides) under Salmonella enterica subsp. enterica serovar Enteritidis. Its description in RNAcentral is "partial 23S ribosomal RNA". It matches the Rfam family "Bacterial large subunit ribosomal RNA", at positions 128 to 1495 of the family's 2925-position model. Lineage: Bacteria; Pseudomonadati; Pseudomonadota; Gammaproteobacteria; Enterobacterales; Enterobacteriaceae. The record is from RNAcentral.
CCAGUGUGAUUCGUCACACUAUCAUUAACUGAAUCCAUAGGUUAAUGAGGCGAACCGGGGGAACUGAAACAUCUAAGUACCCCGAGGAAAAGAAAUCAACCGAGAUUCCCCCAGUAGCGGCGAGCGAACGGGGAGGAGCCCAGAGCCUGAAUCAGCAUGUGUGUUAGUGGAAGCGUCUGGAAAGGCGCGCGAUACAGGGUGACAGCCCCGUACACAAAAGCGCAUGUGCUGUGAGCUCGAUGAGUAGGGCGGGACACGUGGUAUCCUGUCUGAAUAUGGGGGGACCAUCCUCCAAGGCUAAAUACUCCUGACUGACCGAUAGUGAACCAGUACCGUGAGGGAAAGGCGAAAAGAACCCCGGCGAGGGGAGUGAAAAAGAACCUGAAACCGUGUACGUACAAGCAGUGGGAGCACCCUUUGGGUGUGACUGCGUACCUUUUGUAUAAUGGGUCAGCGACUUAUAUUCUGUAGCAAGGUUAACCGAAUAGGGGAGCCGGAGGGAAACCGAGUCUUAACCGGGCGUUAAGUUGCAGGGUAUAGACCCGAAACCCGGUGAUCUAGCCAUGGGCAGGUUGAAGGUUGGGUAACACUAACUGGAGGACCGAACCGACUAAUGUUGAAAAAUUAGCGGAUGACCUGUGGCUGGGGGUGAAAGGCCAAUCAAACCGGGAGAUAGCUGGUUCUCCCCGAAAGCUAUUUAGGUAGCGCCUCGUGAAUUCAUCUCCGGGGGUAGAGCACUGUUUCGGCUAGGGGGCCAUCCCGGCUUACCAACCCGAUGCAAACUGCGAAUACCGGAGAAUGUUAUCACGGGAGACACACGGCGGGUGCUAACGUCCGUCGUGAAGAGGGAAACAACCCAGACCGCCAGCUAAGGUCCCAAAGUCAUGGUUAAGUGGGAAACGAUGUGGGAAGGCCCAGACAGCCAGGAUGUUGGCUUAGAAGCAGCCAUCAUUUAAAGAAAGCGUAAUAGCUCACUGGUCGAGUCGGCCUGCGCGGAAGAUGUAACGGGGCUAAACCAUGCACCGAAGCUGCGGCAGCGACACUGUGUGUUGUUGGGUAGGGGAGCGUUCUGUAAGCCUGUGAAGGUGUGUCGUGAGGCAUGCUGGAGGUAUCAGAAGUGCGAAUGCUGACAUAAGUAACGAUAAAGCGGGUGAAAAGCCCGCUCGCCGGAAGACCAAGGGUUCCUGUCCAACGUUAAUCGGGGCAGGGUGAGUCGACCCCUAAGGCGAGGCCGAAAGGCGUAGUCGAUGGGAAACGGGUUAAUAUUCCCGUACUUGGUGUUACUGCGAAGGGGGGACGGAGAAGGCUAUGUUGGCCGGG